Daphnia pulex (common water flea) is the source of this 550-nucleotide long non-coding RNA. RefSeq lists it as uncharacterized. The record is from RefSeq and is a predicted model, not a curated record. Lineage: Eukaryota; Metazoa; Arthropoda; Branchiopoda; Diplostraca; Daphniidae. The transcript is spliced from 3 exons.
AAAAGACAAAGAGACGAAAUUCAAGAUCACAAAGAAAACGGAACGAUCACUUCUCUUGGAAAUUAUAGCCUACGUGGCUGCACGAAAAACAGCACAGUAAAUCAAAUUAAAAAUUUCGGUCGUCGUUUCAACUCUGGCCGCCUCUCUUUAUAGAGUAGAUUAAUACGCAUUCCAUGCUGUUUAGCAGAUGUGAUACUAGGCCAGCCAUCAUAACUUCAAGAUAUGCAAGUUUUGCCAGUUUCACUUUUGCUGGUAAUAAUGACCUGAGAUUGUCAUCAGCAACAAUCUCAGCAUCAUCACUUGGACAAACUGCAUCCCGUUUGAUUGGAGAAACCACCGAUGUCGUUCGAGUUACGGAUCUCUUCUUCACCUUUCUUUCAAUUCUUCGUGUGAGUGUACGAGGGCCGUAUUCACGAGGACGCCGGACGCCCAUUUUCCUACCCUGCCUGGGAGUAUAGGCCUAUUCAGUACUUUUACUGUCAAAAGUACUUCACUUUUCUGCAGAUGGAGCACUUGUGGAUGGUUGCCUGGCUGUAUUUCCCAGGCUUAA